GUGAUGAGUCGUAAAAUUUCGGCUUGCAGUUUUCCUUUACAAAUGGAUAAAUUUUGUAGAUACACUUUAAAGGAUGAGCUAAUUUUCAAUUCAUAUCACAUGUGCCCUAUCAACGCUAAUCAGUUUUACGACGCUACUAAGAAAUAUAUCUAAAACGAGGUGCACCCAUCCUUUAGGAACUCACUGCAGCAUUCAUUUUAAAAAUCCCAUUUUAAAAACGGUAGAUGAAACAUCGAAAAGUACGACCAUAUUUUUUCUAAC
Molecule: unclassified non-coding RNA, 261 nt
Filed under: Bombus terrestris (buff-tailed bumblebee)
Lineage: Eukaryota; Metazoa; Arthropoda; Insecta; Hymenoptera; Apidae
Description: misc RNA ENSBTSG00005028131.1
Source: RNAcentral